GUCUACAGCCAUACCACCCUGAACACGCACGAUCUCGUCUGAUCUCGGAAGCUAAGCAGGGUCAGGCCUGGUUAGUAUUGGAUGGGAGACCACCUGGGAAUACUGGGUGCUAUAGGCU
Molecule: ribosomal RNA, 118 nt
Filed under: Castor canadensis (American beaver)
Lineage: Eukaryota; Metazoa; Chordata; Mammalia; Rodentia; Castoridae
Source: RNAcentral